Molecule: ribosomal RNA, 258 nt
Filed under: uncultured bacterium
Lineage: Bacteria
Description: partial 16S ribosomal RNA
Rfam family: Bacterial small subunit ribosomal RNA
Source: RNAcentral
GUCCGCACUGUAAACGAUGAUUACUCGCUGCUUGGGGGCAACCCUGAGUGGCCAAGCGAAAGCGAUAAGUAAUCCACCUGGGGAGUACGCCGGCAACGGUGAAACUCAAAGGAAUUGACGGGGGCCCGCACAAGCGGAGGAGCAUGUGGUUUAAUUCGAUGAUACGCGAGGAACCUUACCAGGGCUUGAAAGUUAGGGAAUGACUCUGAAAGGAGUCAGUCAGCAAUGACCCGAAACUAGGUGCUGCAUGGCUGUCGU